RNAcentral lists this ribosomal RNA (253 nucleotides) under uncultured bacterium. Its description in RNAcentral is "partial 16S ribosomal RNA". It matches the Rfam family "Bacterial small subunit ribosomal RNA", at positions 524 to 776 of the family's 1533-position model. The record is from RNAcentral.
UACGUAGGGUGCGAGCGUUGUCCGGAAUUAUUGGGCGUAAAGAGCUCGUAGGCGGUCCGUCGCGUCGAAUGUGAAAACCCGGGGCUCAACUCCGGGCUUGCAUUCGAUACGGGCGGACUAGAGUUCGGUAGGGGAGACUGGAAUUCCUGGUGUAGCGGUGAAAUGCGCAGAUAUCAGGAGGAACACCGAUGGCGAAGGCAGGUCUCUGGGCAUUAACUGACGCUGAGGAGCGAAAGCAUGGGGAGCGAACAGG